UACAGAGGGCAGCUACCCAGCAAUGGGAUGCGAAUCUCGAAAGCCUGUCUCAGUUCGGAUUGGAGGCUGAAACCCGCCUCCAUGAAGUUGGAUUCGCUAGUAAUCGCGCAUCAGCCAUGGCGCGGUGAAUACGUUCCCGGGCCUUGUACACACCGCCCGUCAAGCCAUGGGAGCCGGGGGUGCCUGAAGUUCGUGACCGCAAGGAGCGACCUAGGGCAAAACUGGUGACUGGGGCUAAGUCGUAACAAGGUAGC
RNAcentral lists this ribosomal RNA (254 nucleotides) under uncultured bacterium. Its description in RNAcentral is "partial 16S ribosomal RNA". It matches the Rfam family "Bacterial small subunit ribosomal RNA", at positions 1238 to 1500 of the family's 1533-position model. The record is from RNAcentral.